Non-coding RNA from Kogia breviceps (pygmy sperm whale), 448 nucleotides. NCBI's taxonomy places the organism in Eukaryota, Metazoa, Chordata, Mammalia, Artiodactyla, Physeteridae. The record is from RefSeq and is a predicted model, not a curated record.
AACAAUGUCCCAUCAUGUGCUAUGUUGGUGACGUCACAGGAAACAAAGAAGUCAGUGUUAGAAGAUAGCAAACGUACAGGAGGUCAUUGCUGUGUCCUUAGAAGAAUGACUGACACAUAGUAAGGGCUCAAUAAAUAUUUGAUGAAUUAGUGAAUGAAAGAAACAGGGCUAAACUCCAAUCAUGUUCCUUCUUAUCAUGUGUAAUGUUGGGUAAAUUACUUCCCUGAGUUUUACUCUCUCUUCAUUUGUGAAAUGAGGCUGGUAAUAAUGACAACUGCCAUAUUUUUCUCAAGGAUUGUUGAUGAGAUGCCCAUGUAAUAUUAAAAGAUGAUGUUGUGAGUCCUUACCAUGUCUCGUGCACAAUAUAAAAUUUAAUCUUUACCAUGAUCUUCACAGUAAUCAUAGGAGCAAUACUUUGUAGCUUGGAAUUGGAAAUUGGCCAACUAAA